RNAcentral lists this ribosomal RNA (468 nucleotides) under uncultured bacterium. Its description in RNAcentral is "partial 16S ribosomal RNA". It matches the Rfam family "Bacterial small subunit ribosomal RNA", at positions 28 to 507 of the family's 1533-position model. The record is from RNAcentral.
GACGAACGCUGGCGGCGUGCUUAACACAUGCAAGUCGAACGGAAAGGCCCUCCUUUUCUUGUGUGCUCGAGUGGCUCACGUGUGAGUCACACGUGUAUCACCUGCCCUUUCCUCUCGCAUCACUUCAGUAAACUUGGGCUAAUACCUCUUAUGCGCUCCUGCACCGUAGGGUGGUUUCGAAGGUUUCAGCGGUUGGGGAUGUACUCGCGGCUUAUCAGCCUGUUGAUGGGGUAGUGGCUUACCAAGGCUUUGACGGGUAGCCGGCCUGAGAGGGUGACCGGACACAUUGGGACUGAGAUACGGGCCAGACUCCUACGGGAGUCAGCAGUGGGGAGUGUUGCACAAUGGGAGGAAGGCUGAUGCAGCAACGCCGCGUGUGGGAUGACGGCCUUCGGGUGGUAAAGAGCUUUCGACUGUGACGAAGCGUGAGUGACGGUAAUGGGUAAAGAAGCACCGGCUAACUACGUG